Molecule: ribosomal RNA, 655 nt
Filed under: Clostridioides difficile
Lineage: Bacteria; Bacillati; Bacillota; Clostridia; Peptostreptococcales; Peptostreptococcaceae
Description: partial 23S ribosomal RNA
Rfam family: Bacterial large subunit ribosomal RNA
Source: RNAcentral
CCGGUGAAGAUGCCGGAUACCUGCGACAGGACGGAAAGACCCCAUGGAGCUUUACUGUAGCUUGACAUUGGGUCUUGGUACUACAUGUACAGGAUAGGUGGGAGGCUUUGAAACCAGGACGCCAGUUUUGGCGGAGCCAUCCUUGGGAUACCACCCUUGUAGUACUGGGACUCUAACCAUAGGCCAUGAAUCUGGUCUUGGGACACUGUCAGGUGGGCAGUUUGACUGGGGCGGUCGCCUCCCAAAAGGUAACGGAGGCGCUCAAAGGUUCUCUCAGUACGGUCGGAAAUCGUACGUAGAGUGUAAAGGCAAAAGAGAGCUUGAUUGCAAGACAUACAGGUCGAGCAAGGAUGAAAAUCGGACUUAGUGAUCCGGUGGUUCUGCGUGGAAGGGCCAUCGCUCAACGGAUAAAAGCUACCCUGGGGAUAACAGGCUUAUCUCCCCCAAGAGUCCACAUCGACGGGGAGGUUUGGCACCUCGAUGUCGGCUCAUCACAUCCUGGGGCUGUAGUAGGUCCCAAGGGUUGGGCUGUUCGCCCAUUAAAGUGGUACGCGAGCUGGGUUCAGAACGUCGUGAGACAGUUCGGUCCCUAUCCGUCGCAGGCGUAGGAAAUUUGAGAAGACCUGUCCUUAGUACGAGAGGACCGGGAUGGACG